Non-coding RNA from Cinara cedri, 442 nucleotides. NCBI's taxonomy places the organism in Eukaryota, Metazoa, Arthropoda, Insecta, Hemiptera, Aphididae. The record is from the annotation of a GenBank genome assembly.
UUUCUUGGAUAAUUUUAAGUGGUUUCGACUCCUGCAGUUUUCUUGCAACGUUAUGGAGUCGAUAAAGCUUUAUUUUAACACUAUUUCCAAUUCUACUUCUAAUUCAUAUCAGUGGCGUGGCGAAAUUAAAAUUUUUGAUUGAAUCGCUCGUUGUGGUUGACUACUCACCCAAAUUUAUUCGACAGCUAAGAAAAAAAAUACAAUCCUUGAAUUUGUGAAUAUUAUAGGUAUAGGCGCAAAUAAGGUAACUUGAGAAUUAUUCCAUUGCAUAAUACAUCCAUGGAUAGACCCCUAAAAAUGUGUAAAAUGUUUAUGUCUCCCUCGGAAUUGAUAUAUCUAUAGUCUUAACAUAAAUAUGCCCUCUCAAACUUUUGUCCCUAUUUAAGUUAACAUUCUAUCUAUGAAAUUUCACUUUUUGAACACCUUUCAGUAGCACAUUGUG